UGCCAGACUCCUACGGGAGGCAGCAGUGGGGAAUAUUGCACAAUGGGGGGAACCCUGAUGCAGCGACGCCGCGUGGGCGAGGAAGUAUUUCGGUAUGUAAAGCCCUAUCGGCAGGGAAGAAGAAAUGACGGUACCUGAAUAAGAAGCACCGGCUAAAUACGUGCCAGCAGCCGCGGUAAUACGUAUGGUGCAAGCGUUAUCCGGAUUUACUGGGUGUAAAGGGAGCGUAGGCGGUUAGAUAAGUCUGAUGUGAAAGCCCACAGCUUAACUGUGGGAUUGCAUUGGAAACUAUAGAACUGGAGUGUCGGAGAGGUAAGUGGAAUUCCUAGUGUAGCGGUGAAAUGCGUAGAUAUUAGGAGGAACACCAGUGGCGAAGGCGGCUUACUGGACGAUGACUGACGCUGAGGCUCGAAAGCGUGGGGAGCAAACAGGAUUAGAUACCCGAGUA
Molecule: ribosomal RNA, 448 nt
Filed under: uncultured bacterium
Lineage: Bacteria
Description: partial 16S ribosomal RNA
Rfam family: Bacterial small subunit ribosomal RNA
Source: RNAcentral